AGGUUACUGCUAUCGGUGUUCGCCUAAGCCAUGCGAGUCAUAUGUCCGUAAGAACAUGGCGUACUGCUCAGUAACACGUGGAUAACCUGCCCUUGGGUCCGGCAUAACCCCGGGAAACUGGGGAUAAUUCCGGAUAACGCACAUAUGCUGGAAUGCUUUAUGCGUAAAAUGGAUUCGUCUGCCCAAGGAUGGGUCUGCGGCCUAUCAGGUAGUAGUGGGUGUAAUGUACCUACUAGCCUACGACGGGUACGGGUUGUGAGAGCAAGAGCCCGGAGAUGGAUUCUGAGACAUGAAUCCAGGCCCUACGGGGCGCAGCAGGCGCGAAAACUUUACAAUGCGGGAAACCGUGAUAAGGGGACACCGAGUGCCAGCAUCCUAUGCUGGCUGUCCGGGUGUGUAAAAUACACCUGUUAGCAAGGGCCGGGCAAGACCGGUGCCAGCCGCCGCGGUAACACCGGCGGCCCGAGUGGUGAUCGUGAUUAUUGGGUCUAAAGGGUCCGUAGCCGGUUUGGUCAGUCCUCCGGGAAAUCUGACAGCUUAACUGUUAGGCUUUCGGAGGAUACUGCCAGACUUGGAACCGGGAGAGGUAAGAGGUACUACAGGGGUAGGAGUGAAAUCUUGUAAUCCCUGUGGGACCACCUGUGGCGAAGGCGUCUUACCAGAACGGGUUCGACGGUGAGGGACGAAAGCUGGGGGCACGAACCGGAUUAGAUACCCGGGUAGUCCCAGCCGUAAACGAUGCUCGCUAGGUGUCAGGCAUGGCGCGACCGUGUCUGGUGCCGCAGGGAAGCCGUGAAGCGAGCCACCUGGGAAGUACGGCCGCAAGGCUGAAACUUAA
This 838-nucleotide ribosomal RNA is filed under the name uncultured archaeon. RNAcentral describes it as "bacterial SSU rRNA". It matches the Rfam family "Archaeal small subunit ribosomal RNA", at positions 21 to 859 of the family's 1478-position model. The record is from RNAcentral.